RNAcentral lists this long non-coding RNA (1477 nucleotides) under Equus caballus (horse). RNAcentral's name for it is "lncRNA (ENSECAG00000044171.1)". The record is from RNAcentral. Lineage: Eukaryota; Metazoa; Chordata; Mammalia; Perissodactyla; Equidae.
UGAAUUAUUUAGGAGCUUGUUAUGUGAAUUAAAAAGCAGCACUUUGCAGCAUUAAGUCUAAUAUUUUAUGAUCUUCAAUUGAUUAGGUGGGCUUUCAGGAUUACAUGGAAAGGUUAAGAUAAAACACGCCUCAGACAGGCAGCUUUCGCCAGUCUGCUCUGCUUUUCAAAAACCUACGGGAAAACCCAAAAGGAGCCUGCCUCCCUUUUCCCCUCCAAGUGCAGCUUCGGGAACCGGUUUUCGGACCAUCAGAGAGCUUUCCCGCCCUGAGGAUUCCAGGCACCUGGGUUCUCAGGCCCAAAGGAGGCUGCACCCCCAUUUGUCUACCUUUCUUUUGUCUUUUUUUUGGCACAAAGAUGCCACUGAUGAUGUGGUGCCCAGAGGGACCGCAUUCCAAGCCUGGGCCUGCACAGGGAAAACCCUGAUGCAGACUCCCAGCCACUCAUUUGGACCUAGAUGGGGCCCUGUGCCGUGCCCGCCCGUGGCCAAGGGUGCGUGUAGCACACGCCCCACACAGCAGGAACCUUACAGACCGCCAAGCUCCAGGGGCCUCCCUCUGCCGAACCAGCCAGACGGAGCUACUUAUUAUUCUUUAAAAACACCCUCUGUUGUCUCAACUCGCAAGCUUCGCUCAAGGUGUUCACUUGGUGCAUCGUUCCCCCCCUUCAGCUACUGAAACUCAACCACCCUUGAUAAGGAACAGAGUAAAGAAGUACAGAAUAUAGAGCUUCCUGCGUUCCAAGCACUUUAAAUGUUAUCAUAUAGUCCUCAUAAUAAUCCUGUAAGGCACCUUCUUUCCCUGAAAACAGCAAUAAAAUUUCAUUCGACCUUCUAAAUUUCAUUCUCAAGCCCCAGCAAGGAGCGGGCAGGUAGCUUCGUGAGCGGAUCCAUGGGACACAGGACGUCUUCCUUCGUUUCAGACUCGGCUUCCCCGCGGCCAGAGCCCAGCAGUCAAGCCAGUCAUUUCCAGGCGAAGCAGGACCUACCCUGGGGGCUCACACCCUACAAAUCCCUGAAUCCUCCAUCAUCCCUCCUCCCAGCCUCCUAGUGGGCCGCUCCAAUUUAGGAGGAUUGUAUUGUCUGGAAAUCAACCUGAUCUUAUCUGUAGCCUUUUGUCAAGAGGAAAUUUUUGUUGCCUGUUUUGCUCAGAGGUUGAAACUUGUAGUAUAUUAACUAAUUGCUUGCAUCACUAACACAUGUUCUCUUGUUGGUGUCAUUCAUUUAUACUGUAACAUUUUUGACAUUUUUAGAUUGUCUCUUGGGACUCCUGGGCCUCUUAGCAGUUCCCUCUAUGAAGAGUGUUUGCCUAAUGAUUACUGACUGACAUCUCAAUAACGAGCAGUAGGAGUUGGGUGCAUCUAUUGAAGAGUUCGGGGGGGGGGGGUGUAUGUGUGUGUGUGUUUUAAUUCAUGGUCCACUUUGUCAAGUCAUGUGUGAGCCAUAAUUUAAGCUAAUAAUUACCAGACAUGAAUUCAAU